RNAcentral lists this small nucleolar RNA (161 nucleotides) under Ophiostoma piceae UAMH 11346. Lineage: Eukaryota; Fungi; Ascomycota; Sordariomycetes; Ophiostomatales; Ophiostomataceae. The record is from RNAcentral.
AUUCGGCAUGAUAACUGGACGACGGUUUCGCUAUCCUACGACUCAAGUCUUUUAAGUUGCCGAUAGAUAAAACACAACAUGCGAGGGAACCUUACACGUUUCUCGGAGCUUUCACUAGCCACUACACAUGACGUUAGUACGUUUAAUUUCUCGCAACAUCC